RNAcentral lists this ribosomal RNA (2921 nucleotides) under Staphylococcus aureus. RNAcentral's name for it is "bacterial LSU rRNA". It matches the Rfam family "Bacterial large subunit ribosomal RNA". Lineage: Bacteria; Bacillati; Bacillota; Bacilli; Caryophanales; Staphylococcaceae. The record is from RNAcentral. RNAcentral also lists the same sequence under 94 other names.
UUAAGUUAUUAAGGGCGCACGGUGGAUGCCUUGGCACUAGAAGCCGAUGAAGGACGUUACUAACGACGAUAUGCUUUGGGGAGCUGUAAGUAAGCUUUGAUCCAGAGAUUUCCGAAUGGGGAAACCCAGCAUGAGUUAUGUCAUGUUAUCGAUAUGUGAAUACAUAGCAUAUCAGAAGGCACACCCGGAGAACUGAAACAUCUUAGUACCCGGAGGAAGAGAAAGAAAAUUCGAUUCCCUUAGUAGCGGCGAGCGAAACGGGAAGAGCCCAAACCAAAAAGCUUGCUUGUUGGGGUUGUAGGACACUCUAUACGGAGUUACAAAGGACGACAUUAGACGAAUCAUCUGGAAAGAUGAAUCAAAGAAGGUAAUAAUCCUGUAGUCGAAAAUGUUGUCUCUCUUGAGUGGAUCCUGAGUACGACGGAGCACGUGAAAUUCCGUCGGAAUCUGGGAGGACCAUCUCCUAAGGCUAAAUACUCUCUAGUGACCGAUAGUGAACCAGUACCGUGAGGGAAAGGUGAAAAGCACCCCGGAAGGAGAGUGAAAUAGAACCUGAAACCGUGUGCUUACAAGUAGUCAGAGCCCGUUAAUGGGUGAUGGCGUGCCUUUUGUAGAAUGAACCGGCGAGUUACGAUUUGAUGCAAGGUUAAGCAGUAAAUGUGGAGCCGUAGCGAAAGCGAGUCUGAAUAGGGCGUUUAGUAUUUGGUCGUAGACCCGAAACCAGGUGAUCUACCCUUGGUCAGGUUGAAGUUCAGGUAACACUGAAUGGAGGACCGAACCGACUUACGUUGAAAAGUGAGCGGAUGAACUGAGGGUAGCGGAGAAAUUCCAAUCGAACCUGGAGAUAGCUGGUUCUCUCCGAAAUAGCUUUAGGGCUAGCCUCAAGUGAUGAUUAUUGGAGGUAGAGCACUGUUUGGACGAGGGGCCCCUCUCGGGUUACCGAAUUCAGACAAACUCCGAAUGCCAAUUAAUUUAACUUGGGAGUCAGAACAUGGGUGAUAAGGUCCGUGUUCGAAAGGGAAACAGCCCAGACCACCAGCUAAGGUCCCAAAAUAUAUGUUAAGUGGAAAAGGAUGUGGCGUUGCCCAGACAACUAGGAUGUUGGCUUAGAAGCAGCCAUCAUUUAAAGAGUGCGUAAUAGCUCACUAGUCGAGUGACACUGCGCCGAAAAUGUACCGGGGCUAAACAUAUUACCGAAGCUGUGGAUUGUCCUUUGGACAAUGGUAGGAGAGCGUUCUAAGGGCGUUGAAGCAUGAUCGUAAGGACAUGUGGAGCGCUUAGAAGUGAGAAUGCCGGUGUGAGUAGCGAAAGACGGGUGAGAAUCCCGUCCACCGAUUGACUAAGGUUUCCAGAGGAAGGCUCGUCCGCUCUGGGUUAGUCGGGUCCUAAGCUGAGGCCGACAGGCGUAGGCGAUGGAUAACAGGUUGAUAUUCCUGUACCACCUAUAAUCGUUUUAAUCGAUGGGGGGACGCAGUAGGAUAGGCGAAGCGUGCGAUUGGAUUGCACGUCUAAGCAGUAAGGCUGAGUAUUAGGCAAAUCCGGUACUCGUUAAGGCUGAGCUGUGAUGGGGAGAAGACAUUGUGUCUUCGAGUCGUUGAUUUCACACUGCCGAGAAAAGCCUCUAGAUAGAAAAUAGGUGCCCGUACCGCAAACCGACACAGGUAGUCAAGAUGAGAAUUCUAAGGUGAGCGAGCGAACUCUCGUUAAGGAACUCGGCAAAAUGACCCCGUAACUUCGGGAGAAGGGGUGCUCUUUAGGGUUAACGCCCAGAAGAGCCGCAGUGAAUAGGCCCAAGCGACUGUUUAUCAAAAACACAGGUCUCUGCUAAACCGUAAGGUGAUGUAUAGGGGCUGACGCCUGCCCGGUGCUGGAAGGUUAAGAGGAGUGGUUAGCUUCUGCGAAGCUACGAAUCGAAGCCCCAGUAAACGGCGGCCGUAACUAUAACGGUCCUAAGGUAGCGAAAUUCCUUGUCGGGUAAGUUCCGACCCGCACGAAAGGCGUAACGAUUUGGGCACUGUCUCAACGAGAGACUCGGUGAAAUCAUAGUACCUGUGAAGAUGCAGGUUACCCGCGACAGGACGGAAAGACCCCGUGGAGCUUUACUGUAGCCUGAUAUUGAAAUUCGGCACAGCUUGUACAGGAUAGGUAGGAGCCUUUGAAACGUGAGCGCUAGCUUACGUGGAGGCGCUGGUGGGAUACUACCCUAGCUGUGUUGGCUUUCUAACCCGCACCACUUAUCGUGGUGGGAGACAGUGUCAGGCGGGCAGUUUGACUGGGGCGGUCGCCUCCUAAAAGGUAACGGAGGCGCUCAAAGGUUCCCUCAGAAUGGUUGGAAAUCAUUCAUAGAGUGUAAAGGCAUAAGGGAGCUUGACUGCGAGACCUACAAGUCGAGCAGGGUCGAAAGACGGACUUAGUGAUCCGGUGGUUCCGCAUGGAAGGGCCAUCGCUCAACGGAUAAAAGCUACCCCGGGGAUAACAGGCUUAUCUCCCCCAAGAGUUCACAUCGACGGGGAGGUUUGGCACCUCGAUGUCGGCUCAUCGCAUCCUGGGGCUGUAGUCGGUCCCAAGGGUUGGGCUGUUCGCCCAUUAAAGCGGUACGCGAGCUGGGUUCAGAACGUCGUGAGACAGUUCGGUCCCUAUCCGUCGUGGGCGUAGGAAAUUUGAGAGGAGCUGUCCUUAGUACGAGAGGACCGGGAUGGACAUACCUCUGGUGUACCAGUUGUCGUGCCAACGGCAUAGCUGGGUAGCUAUGUGUGGACGGGAUAAGUGCUGAAAGCAUCUAAGCAUGAAGCCCCCCUCAAGAUGAGAUUUCCCAACUUCGGUUAUAAGAUCCCUCAAAGAUGAUGAGGUUAAUAGGUUCGAGGUGGAAGCAUGGUGACAUGUGGAGCUGACGAAUACUAAUCGAUCGAAGACUUAAUCAA